GGUUAGAGCUCGGCCACGUAGGCUGAGUGCCUGGUAUCUGUUUUUCUCUCGGUGCAGGAAAACAUGGAGAAUGGGGAAAGUAGCUGCCGCAUGCCAAUGUGAAACUCCGAGGAGUCUAGCCAUUCUGAUCUGGCCUUCUAGGUCAGCAGGAGGCUCUGCCAUCACGUGAGGAGGUACUGCCAACAAUAAGGCCCAAUCGUGAUCCUCCCACAACAAGAGCAGAUUGUGAGAGGACUCAUCAGAGAGCAACACGGACAGAUGACGACCAUCACCUGGAGCUCCAGUUUGAAGAGGCUUUUCCCUGCGCAAUCUCCUUUGAUUUUCACAAUAACCCUUAGCCCCGCGGAUUCCUCCUGCAGUGGUUUCCUUAUCAGAGUCUCUGGGAGGAGCUGCCAAUGCAUCAUUCCUAAAUUAUUCUGUUUUCGCAUCUCCUCCCUUCUCCAAAGUCAGAGGGGACCUGCCUCACCUGGGUGCUGCACGCAGAUUUCUUAGCCUGAUGCUCAAGACCCCAUGCAACACAAUUUCAACCUACAAUCCUAUGGCAGUCCUGGCUGCUGGGAUUUCCUUCCUUGAGUCCUCUGCUUCUGACAAGCUGGUUACCUGGCACACAGCAGGCAUGAAGAAACGUUUUUGCAUGAAAGAAUACGCCUUCUGUUGUGCUGCAGUUUGCCUCCGUUCAUCUCAACAUAUAUUCCUUGAGUGACUGGGACAACUGGUGCUUGAAGGCUUCCCGUAUGCCAGACACUGGUAGGGAACAGACACUGUUCCAGUUUGCCCUGGACUUUCCUGAUUUUAGCCCUGGAAGUCAUGUCUCAGGAAUUCCCCACCCCACCCCAGGCAAAUUGGGACAGUUGGCCAUCCUAAUAAAUGGGGCUCCAUGCAUUCUAUUUUCCUGGGACUUCCAACAUAGUGAGAGUAGAUGACAUUAAACAAAUUACCCCACAAAGAAAUGCAUAAUUACAAACCAUGGCAGGUGCAAAGGAGAAGUCAACCCUGAGCUGGGCACUGUGGAAAUGAAGAGAAAAAGACACAGUCAGGCCUUGGUGAAGCACCCUGCUUGUAACUAGGAGAGAGGGGGACACACAGCUUAUUUAUUGUGAAGUGAUGAGCACAGUGAAUUAGAAACCUCCACUCUCUUGUCCCUGUUCACAUUAUGCUGUUUCUAUUUUAACUGGGGUUUCAAACAUUAGAAACCCACUCUGGUGAAUUAAAUAGAGGGGUAUUGAAAGGGAUUUGGAAGGAAAAGCUGAAAAAAUAGGCCUAGGAAGAGAGAGAAACAAUUGCAUCCUAGGGAGUUGAGAUAGUCAAAAAAUAAUGCCAGAACAAAAGAACAUGCUUUGUUCCACUUCCAUUAGAAAAAUUGACUCUGGCCGUUCAAUGCCCUUGGGUUUCUCUGGCCAAUAUCCUGAUUCCAGGAAGAAAGUAUAUGACGGCCAAGCUUGGGUCUCAUGCCAGCCCCUUGGCCAGUCUAACGGAGCACCAUGAUUAGAAAUUCCAUCAAAACCGUGCGCAGCUGGGCAUGGGGACGCGCAGUUGCUAUGGGUAAUGGAGGGGCAGGUGCUGGGAAGGUGACGGCCACGGCUGCCUGCUCUCUCCUCUUCAAAAAGGGGCCCAGACAUUGCCUUCUCCAGGGUCUCUUACACCGUGGUCACUGCCCUUGGAGUGCUUCUCUGCUUGCUUUUAGUCCAGAAUAUUCUGUUACCAUGGAUAGCACGAGGCUGACAGCUGUUUUGUCUUACCCAGCCACCCUGACUAUUAUCACCUUGGAGCAUGUGCUGAGUCCUCGGGCACAGCUAGUACAAUGCCUGGCACAGCCAAGAGACUCCAUGAAUUUUGCUGAGCACUUUCUGGAGAGUUUUACAGAGCACGUGGCCAUGAUGAUCCUGCCAUCCUUCCCUGGCCCAUUGCCCUCCAGCCAAACCGACCUUCUUCCUGGAUCUCAAACACUUUGAGCAACUUUGCAGCCCGCCUGGCUAUUCCUUCAUCCCAUGUUGCUGCUUUGCCGGUCUUGUGACUCUGGGGUUCUCAAGUGGGGGUGGUUUUGCCCUCCAGGGGAACACUUGGCAAUGUCUGGGGACAUUUUUUGGUUAUCACCCUGGAAAAUGGGACGCUACUGGCAUCUCGUGGGUAAAGGCCAGGGAUGCUGCUAAACAUCCUAUAAUGCACAGGACAAUCCCCCAACAAAGAGUUAUGGGAUCCACAGCAUCCACAGUGCCAAGGUCGGGAAAGCCUGCAGUAAGGCGCAAUCCCCUCAGCCCAGAGACCCUCCCGUUCAGGAAGGCUUCCCUGAGCAUCACCCGUUUCUUUCUCUCAUGCCCCCCACUGUAUUUCCUUUGUGACACCUUGUCACAGCCUAAAAUGAUCCUGCCUGCUUGUUCAGUUGCUGGCUUGGUGCCUGUCUUGUGGACUAGAUCGGUCUGAUGAGAGCGACCCCCAUGGGCCUUGCUCGUGGGGAACUCCCCCGCAUGGAGAGUAGCACACGGCAUACAGCAGGCUGCUCAGUAAAAAUGUGUUGCAAGAAUGUUGAAUAAAGAAAUAUGACCUCAA
Molecule: long non-coding RNA, 2547 nt
Organism: Macaca mulatta (Rhesus monkey)
Lineage: Eukaryota; Metazoa; Chordata; Mammalia; Primates; Cercopithecidae
Source: RefSeq, a predicted model, not a curated record